Molecule: long non-coding RNA, 265 nt
Filed under: Elaeis guineensis (African oil palm)
Lineage: Eukaryota; Viridiplantae; Streptophyta; Magnoliopsida; Arecales; Arecaceae
Description: long non-coding RNA (EGUI_LNC074978)
Source: RNAcentral
UAGAAGUAAAUAUAAUUUUAAAGUAUAAAAGUCUAACUUGAAUCUCUACUCUCACAGUUAAAUAAUGUCAGCCUCAAACUCUCUAGCCCGCAUCUUUGAAUUUAAUAAUUUGACCGAAACAAACAAUAAAGACUGGCUAAGAAACCUCAAAAUUAUCUUGACUUUUGAAGAACUAGGUCAUGUACUCGAUCAAAAACUCCUAGUGUUCCCAAACUAUCCUACUGCUGAGCAAAGAACUGCUUAUGAAAAGUAGAUGGAUGAAGAC